CCUACGGGCGGCAGCAGUGAGGAAUAUUGGUCAAUGGGCGCGAGCCUGAACCAGCCAAGUCGCGUGAGGGAUGAAGGCCCUCCGGGUUGUAAACCUCUUUUGCCGGGGAGCAACGGGCGUCACGUGUGGCGCCACUGAGAGUACCCGGCGACAAAGCAUCCGCUAACUCCGUGCCAGCAGCCGCGGUAAUACGGAGGAGGCGAGCGUUAUCCGGAUUUAUUGGGUUUUAAGGGUGCGUAGGCGGAUCGUUAAGUCAGUGGUCAAAUUGAGGGGCUCAACCCCUUCCCGCCAUUGAAACUGGCGAUCUUGAGUGUAAGAGAGGUAUGCGGAAUGCGUGGUGUAGCGGUGAAAUGCAUAGAUAUCACGCAGAACCCCGAUUGCGAAGGCAGCAUGCCGGCUUCCGACUGACGCUGAGGCACGAAAGCGUGGGGAUCGAACAGGAUUAGAUACCCUUGUAGUC
RNAcentral lists this ribosomal RNA (460 nucleotides) under uncultured bacterium. Its description in RNAcentral is "partial 16S ribosomal RNA". It matches the Rfam family "Bacterial small subunit ribosomal RNA", at positions 338 to 795 of the family's 1533-position model. The record is from RNAcentral.